UUGAGAGUAAGCACACAGAGAUUUUCUUUCCUGUUAAGAAGUUGCUACCUUCAGCUUAAUUUCUACAAAUCAAAUAGCUGUUUCACAGGAGCUAAUCUGGGAUUGAAAGAUGUUUUGACAAAGCAUGGAAAUAGCACUGAGAUAAAGAACUUUUACCAGAAUCUCCAUCUUACCAGACAAAGUCUUGGUGUAGAAUGAGGGAGGAAAAAAGGGA
RNAcentral lists this long non-coding RNA (214 nucleotides) under Manacus vitellinus (golden-collared manakin). Its description in RNAcentral is "lncRNA (ENSMVIG00005019651.1)". Lineage: Eukaryota; Metazoa; Chordata; Aves; Passeriformes; Pipridae. The record is from RNAcentral.